Molecule: long non-coding RNA, 652 nt
Filed under: Ananas comosus (pineapple)
Lineage: Eukaryota; Viridiplantae; Streptophyta; Magnoliopsida; Poales; Bromeliaceae
Description: long non-coding RNA (ACOM_LNC038392)
Source: RNAcentral
UGUGGAUACCUAUAGAGGCCGGACGCGUGUGCGGCUUCAAGAGAACCCGAUUCCACGAUCAUCAAAUUGAGGCAAGGAUUUAUCCGCGAAAAAGGUAAUGAUUCGAUCUUACUUUUCUCCUUUAAUCUUAAAGAACAUGAGGGAUCCUAAUUGCAUGUUUCUGAGAUUAGAUCUCGAGAGUUUUUCAAAAUCAAAUUUGUUUGAUUUCUUUUUCCACUGCGUUUUACCGUACGCAAUUUUCUAACAUUUAUAACUUUAAUCCACCCCCCUCCUCCAUUAAUCUCCCACCCUCUUUCUUUUGUAACUCUUUUUUAUGCAUCAUAAAAAAAAUAUCAUCCUCUAAUCUCCCACUCCACACUCAUCUCCCUCUUUCUCUCAUUAUGUUAACGAAGUUGAUGAGAAAGAAGAGGAAGAAAAAGAGACUCUGAAGAACAUUGUCUCCUUCGAGAAACAUCGGCCCGCGAAGCCGAGCCGCGGCCCAUAUAAGUGCCCGCUGAGCCGGUCCGCGCGGGGGCCCCUGCUCACCAUGCGAAUUUAGUCAUGCAAAUUGACCGUGCUUAAUAUGGUAUAGCUUUCUAUAUAUCAAUAAACUGUAAAUAUAAGUUUUAUUAAAAUUUUUAAAUUUUGUUUCUAUUAUCUACCCGCUGCAUCG